This is a long non-coding RNA of Cercocebus atys (sooty mangabey), 2622 nucleotides long. RefSeq lists it as uncharacterized. Lineage: Eukaryota; Metazoa; Chordata; Mammalia; Primates; Cercopithecidae. The record is from RefSeq and is a predicted model, not a curated record. The transcript is spliced from 2 exons.
CGAUUCUCCUGCCUCAACCUCCCGAGUAGUUGGGAUAACAGAUGAGGAAACAGGUUAAACAAUUUCCCAAACUCAUCAGUGGGUAAGUGGUCUUAAUCUGGAGAAAACUGUUAACUACUUUCUAUAGUACUGCUCUCACAUGCUAAACUGAAAAACAUUAAUAUACCCAUAGUCAACACAUGGUAUACAUCUCUUCCAACCUGUCCACCCUCCUCCUACCUCUAUUGGCAUGAUCUAGGGACUGGUCUCUCUCCUUCAAAACUCUCCUUAGAGAGAAAGCAGUGGUGUAGUCAAGAGAAGUUGACUUCCAAGAGAAAGUAGUUGUAGUCCUAGUUUCUGGUAACUGGAGCUUUAGACACUAAUCUGAAAGAUGUUUCUAAAAGGCAAAUCUGAUGGGGUCACUCAUCAAUUAAACCCUGUGUUGACUCUCUUGGACUUCAAGACAAACAUCUUUGGCCCUUAACACAGUUUCUUCAGACUCACUUCUUGCCACUUCCCUAUAUAUCUUAAAUUAUUCACAGUUCCCCUCUGAAAACUCCAUGCUCUCUCACCUCUGAACCUUUUUGAGUAUCUCUUCACCUUAGCUCUCUGCCCCAUGCCUAUUCUUUUCCCUUAUCAACCUCUAACAUCUUUUUUAGGACUUUCUACAGAAAUCUUCCAGAUGCUCAUGAGGAUCAGAUAAGAGCCUCUUUGUCCCCCUUCAUGCCUGCGCUUAUCUUAUUAUAUAGAUACCACUUCAUUUUCUGAGAGUACUUGUCUACUUCUCUGACCUCCCUACCUGGACCCUAAGCUCCUUGGACUAUAAAGCACCAGUAGUACAACAGUCCUAUCCUCAAGGAAAGGUAGGAAGAAUAUUAAUCUCUCCUCUAAAAUAGUUCUGGGGUGGCUGCCGUACAUACAGCUCUAUCAUAGUGUUGGGAUCCUAACUCAAAUCAUUAGACAAGGACAGACAUCAGAGACCCAUGGUGAAUUAAGUUUGUACUUUUCAGGGAAUCACAAAGAUACUAAGAAUAUAGGAAGAAACAAAAACCAGGAACCUUGCCUUGUAACCAUCUCCUUUCUCAGGUAAGCAUACUUAUUUAGUACAGAAUACAUUGUGAAGUACCUAUGCCACAUAUGUGCUAAGGGCUAUUAGGUGAGGGGACAUGAUCAUGAGCACAAUAAGCAUGAACUCUGACUUCAGAGCUGAGCAUUUAGAGGGAGACACAGACACUGAAUCAACCAAAGACACACAAGUAUCAAAUGAAAACCUUGAUAGAUGCUACCAAGAAAAAGUCAUUUAUAAGCUCAUAAAUGGGGAACCGGAAUGGGUGGGUAGAGGGCAAAUGUAAGAGCACUUCCAUUAAAAAGUGACUCAUAGGUAAGAUUGAAAGACUAGGAAUUACUCAGGCUGAGGCUGAGAAGAGGGGGAUAAGAAUGAGGUGCUUCCUAGUCUGAGCUGAAGUGGGGGUGGGCCUGGAGCUUGGCUCUUGAAGGAACUGAAAGAACAGUACAGCUGGAGAGAAGAGAGGCAAAAAAGGUAGGCAGACAUCGCCUGGUUGCAUUGCAGGCCUGAACUCACCUUAUCUUCUGGAGGACAAUACCUUGAUUCUCUCUGGAAAAAUCGUGGGGGAAAGCCCUGUGUAUGGUGUUCAGUGUGCUUGAGACGAUGAGAUGGAACUGAACACAGACUGGGAGCCAGGCCAGCUUGGGUUUGAAUCUUGUGAGUAACAUGGUAGUGACUGUGGCUAAUGAUCAUUAAUAAUAAGUAAAGUGCUGAAGUCAUAAGGCUCCUUCCAGUGACUCCUGUCACUUCCAAUCACUUCUAGUUGAAGCCUAGAGGUAAUUAUUCACUUUACCAAAGGAUUCACUAUAAGCAUCCUUUAAAUAGUACCCCCUAAGGCACCUAAAAUAGAUGUGAUUGACACAGGCAAAUCAUGCAAUUCUGGAGGGACUCCCUCUUAAGGAGACCUGAAGCUGGCUGUGACUGGCUGUGAUCAUCUGGUCAUGAUAUACUGAUAACAGGUCUCUGAGCAAACUAGUAUAUGAAAAUCAUUGCCAAGAAAGCCUAGAAUCCUUAGUAGAAAUCUCAGAGUCCCAGAAACUUUGAGAGAAUAUGUUAGUUGGAGGAAAAAUAAGCCUUGUCUUCCCUCCUUCUUUGUUCUCUGCCUACCUCUGGCCCAACCUCAAAUCUUUAAAUUUAAAUGAUGUGGCCCAGCAGAGGCCAGUGGCAUAAAGAUGGUUUCUCUCCCUCCAUUCUCUUUGGAGCUGGUGGGAACUGGUUGGAAGGGAGGUUUCUGCUCUUUUCCAAAGCCUCUCAGAGCUCUCCUCAUUCCUGGUAGGCCCUCAGCACUCCUACUGUGAACCAGCUGCUCCCGCCUUGAGACUCUGUCUUCUCUGCUUUAAGCUGUGCUCUAAUGUGCGUGAUUGUAUGUAUUUGAUUUUGAAAAUUUGGAGAAUUCUAUGGAAAACUCUAAUUUCUUUGUAUUUCUACCUGACCUCUGCUCCUCCCUUGAGAAGGAGUUGGAUUAUGGAAUAAGAAGUUUAGGGUAUAUCUAGACCGGGCAAGUCUUCUUUCUGAAAAGCACAGUACCUUGGCACAUAGUCCAGGAACUGGGAACCAAACUGGAAAAAAAAAAAAAA